This 1481-nucleotide ribosomal RNA is filed under the name Euplotes focardii. Its description in RNAcentral is "partial Eukaryotic small subunit ribosomal RNA". It matches the Rfam family "Eukaryotic small subunit ribosomal RNA", at positions 420 to 1829 of the family's 1831-position model. The record is from RNAcentral. Lineage: Eukaryota; Ciliophora; Spirotrichea; Euplotida; Euplotidae.
GGAAGGCAGCAGGCGCGUAAAUUACCCAAUCCUGACUCAGGGAGGUAGUGACAAGAAAUAACAGACCGGAGCCUCUGGUUCCGGGAUUGCAAUGAGUACAAUUUAGACUCCUUAACAAGUAACAAUUGGAGGGCAAGUCUGGUGCCAGCAGCCGCGGUAAUUCCAGCUCCAAUAGUGUAUAUUAAUGUUCCUGCAGUUAUUCGAUGCUCGUAGUUGGAUUUCUGGAGGCUGAGACAGGAGGGCAGCCAAGGUUGUCGCCAGUCUCUUCCUUCAUCCGCCUGUUAACGUUGUCCGGGAUUUAUUUCUCGGCUUCGGGCUCAGGUACUUUUUUUGUUUUACCCUUUCUUUAUAUUCAUUUAUUUAUCUUUAUUUUUUGAGCAAAUUAUAGUGUUUCAGGCAGGCGUGCGCCGGAAUACAUUAGCAUGGAAUAAUCGAAUUGGACCGUGUAUUCACUAUGUGAAUUCUUCCUUAUUUGUUGGUUCUAAGGACACGGAUAUGAUUAAUAGGGAUAGUAAUUUUCAGGGGAGGCAUUAGUAUUUAAUUUCCAGAGGUGAAAUUCUUUGAAAUAUUAAAGACUAACUUAUGCGAAAGCAUUUAUUUUGCCAAUAAUGUUUUCAUUAAUCAUUGAACGAAAGUUAGGGGAUCAAAGACGAUCAGAUACCGUCCUAGUCUUAACCAUAAACGUUGCCGACUAGGGAUCGGAGGGCGUGCACAUUCCGCCUUCGGCACCUUACGAGAAAUCAAAGUCUUUUGGGUUCUGGGGGUAGUAUGGUCGCAAGGCUGAAACUUAAAGGAAUUGACGGAAGGGCACCACCAGGAGUGGAGCUUGCGGCUCAAUUUGACUCAACACGGGAAAUCUUACCAGGUCCAGACAUAGCGAGGAUUGACAGAUUGAUAGCUCUUUCUUGAUUCUAUGGGUAUUUUUGGUGGUGCAUGGCCGUUCUUAGUUGGUGGGUUGCCUUGUCAGGUUGAUUCCGGUAACGAACGAGACCUCAGCCUGCUAAAUAGUCACGUCUACCUCGGUAGGCGCCUGACUUCUUAGAGGGACUAUUGGCGUUUAGCCAAUGGAAGUGUGAGGCAAUAACAGGUCUGUGAUGCCCUUAGAUGUCCUGGGCCGCACGCGUGCUACACUGAUACGUACAACGAGGUAUAUGCAUUUAUGCAUCUUUGCUGCUCCGAAAUAGACACAGCUAAAUCUUCUAAAAUACGUAUCGUGCUGCGGAUAGAUCGUUGAAAUUAUGGAUCUUGAAGGUGGAAUUCCUAGUAAGCGCAGGUCAUCAACCUGCGUUGAUUACGUCCCUGCCCUUUGUACACACCGCCCGUCGCUCCUACCGAUUGAAUGAUCCGGUGAAGUGUUCGGAUUGCGUCGACGAUGGUGGUUCGCCGCCGUCGACGUCGUGAGAAGUUCAUUGAACCUUAUCAUUUAGAGGAAGGAGAAGUCGUAACAAGGUUUCCGUAGGUGAACCUGCGGAAGGAUCAAU